GCGGUAUCUUAGUAAAUAUGCUCCACAGACAGCGCAGAUGUUCUGCAAUCUCAAAUCUAGCAGUGUAAGGGUUAGGAAUGAUGCAGGCAAAAUGACCAUGUGCUGACUGAGGUCUCUCUUCUUUCCGCUAGGAGCUCUCCCUCCUUCCUGCUGUCCUCUCUCUCUGCCAAGCUGUCAGCUGAUGGGACUGAUCACCCAAGCGUGGAGCAUGCAGCCGAAUCAGCCCUCUCCCUCUCCA
This is a non-coding RNA of Pelobates cultripes (western spadefoot toad), 238 nucleotides long. Lineage: Eukaryota; Metazoa; Chordata; Amphibia; Anura; Pelobatidae. The record is from the annotation of a GenBank genome assembly.